Molecule: ribosomal RNA, 465 nt
Filed under: Vreelandella stevensii
Lineage: Bacteria; Pseudomonadati; Pseudomonadota; Gammaproteobacteria; Oceanospirillales; Halomonadaceae
Description: partial 16S ribosomal RNA
Rfam family: Bacterial small subunit ribosomal RNA
Source: RNAcentral
CCUACGGGUGGCUGCAGUGGGGAAUAUUGGACAAUGGGGGCAACCCUGAUCCAGCCAUGCCGCGUGUGUGAAGAAGGCCCUCGGGUUGUAAAGCACUUUCAGUGAGGAAGAACGCCUGGUGGUUAAUACCCAUCAGGAAAGACAUCACUCACAGAAGAAGCACCGGCUAACUCCGUGCCAGCAGCCGCGGUAAUACGGAGGGUGCGAGCGUUAAUCGGAAUUACUGGGCGUAAAGCGCGCGUAGGUGGCUUGAUAAGCCGGUUGUGAAAGCCCCGGGCUCAACCUGGGAACGGCAUCCGGAACUGUCAAGCUAGAGUGCAGGAGAGGAAGGUAGAAUUCCCGGUGUAGCGGUGAAAUGCGUAGAGAUCGGGAGGAAUACCAGUGGCGAAGGCGGCCUUCUGGACUGAAACUGACACUGAGGUGCGAAAGCGUGGGUAGCAAACAGGAUUAGAUACCCGAGUAGUC